RNAcentral lists this long non-coding RNA (3379 nucleotides) under Zea mays. RNAcentral's name for it is "long non-coding RNA (ZMAY_LNC002447)". Lineage: Eukaryota; Viridiplantae; Streptophyta; Magnoliopsida; Poales; Poaceae. The record is from RNAcentral.
UCAUGGUACAGAAACGAAUGUCACAUCUUUAAUAUAUAUAAUAGGAGUUAAACAAUUACAUCAUAAGAAGACAAUGAUCCUACACAACCAUAGUUGACUGGGAGACGACGGCCUAAACCUCUCAUGAACUCAUCACGACAUCCUUCGUGCUCCUUAUCUUGUGGUACAUGUCCUUGGCCUGGGGGGAUGUGAGUACAACAAGGGUGAGCUCACAUAUGUUCAUCGCUCAACAAGUUGUGAGGAAUAAGAGAAAAUUCCUUCAAUGCCAUCCAAAUUUAUACCAAUCCCUUCAAUGCCAUUAGAAUUUAUAGCUUCCCUUCAAUGCCAUCAAUUUUAAAUUUUAAUCCUUGGAAUGCCAUCACAUUUAGUUUGAAGCUAACGUCGUUAGUUCUAUUUAAAGCAAAUCCCUCCAAUGCCAUCAAAAUCUAUACCGAUCUCUUCAAUGCCACUAGAAAUUGGUUCGGUCUAUUUGGGUUUUAUAAAAUUCAGAAUAAAAAAAUAUUUGAACACAAAAUACCACAUUGAUUUUAAAAUGUAUCUCCCUUUGUUAUCAUUAGUGUUUGUUGUUAGUCUAGAAAAAAUAUUAGAAAUCAAAAUAGACCGAACUGAUAUAGCGGAGUAAUUUUUGGUGUUUACAAAAAAAUAUGUACUAAAGUUUUUAAAAAUCGUGGAAUUGGUCCAUAUUUUUUUAUUAUGUAAUUUUUAAAACCCAAAUUGAUCAAACCAAUUUCUAGUGGCAUUGAAGGGAUCGAUAUAGAUUUUGAUGGCAUUGGAGAGAUUUACAUUAAAUAGAACUAACGAUGUUAGUUUCAAUCUAACGGCAAUGGCGUUUAAGGGAUUAAAAUUUAAAUUUGAUGGCAUUGAAGGGAAGCUAUAAAUUCUGAUGGCAUUGAAGGGAUUAGUAUAAGUUUGGAUGGCAUUGAAGAGAUUUUCUCAAGGAAUAAUGUGCAUGAGCUCACUUAUGGUGGGGGCUCAUGUGAAGUGUAAGGCUUACCAAAGGAGAUGAUUAAAGUUGAGCGCUGCUUUUAAAGUUGAUCAAUGUUUUAUUAGCAGUUACUAAGUAUAAGUAGAUACUAACCAGAAUAGACCCACAAUGCAAUGCAUAUGAUAGAUUAAGUUUAGUUCCAUAAGUUAAUCAUGCGAGUGUCCUAAGUCGCUCUUGACAGUGAGCAUGACUGAUAUACCAGUGUUACAUUCUGUUGAGGUUGCGCAUCUUUACCCACAAGACGUGUUUCUUGAUUAGCCAAGGUUAGCUAGACCCUUAGAAACUUCCAAGGUGAAUGGCUAGGGAUCCACUGCGAGGCCUUUCUAAAGUUCCACUAGUUUGAGAAACCCCGCUACGGAUUCAGGAAGAAGGCAGCAUGGGAAUCCCUCAUCCGAAAAGCUUUACCAACAGUUCGACCCGAGGACCUCCCUAUACUCUGUAGCGACGCCUCCCUGCUUUCCCCUUUCGGGUAAGGUAAUCUCUCCCUAGCUUUCCUAAUUACUUGACCAAGGGCGUCCCAUUCCACCCUUGUGGUAGCACUGUUAUCGCAAGUUAAGCUCCAUGUUCCAAUUAACUUAAUAGUCUUGAUAUGAAUAAUAAUUAAAUCAACAGCAAAAUUGGAACAUGAUCAUAAUUUAGAUGUAACAUUAAUCCCAAAACUUGGUAGAGCAAUAGCAAGUCUACCCAAUAGUUCACAUGUUUGCAAGGCGUGGGGUAAACAAAACUAGGGCAACCUAUUGUGUCGCAUCAAAUUAGCCUGAGGUUGUCACAGUGAUUAACAUAGAACAUUAUUAGGUAAAGAAGAGUGAUCAAGGGCACAACUUGCCUGUGAGUUGAGAUUCUAGGUACUUCACCAAGUUGGUCUCCGGGUUUCUCGUGACCUCGCCUCUACUCGUAAGAAUACAUACAAAUAGACAAGGAGUUCAUAAAAAUAACAGUACACCAAACAUGAGAACAAACAACGUUAGAAUAUUCUACGCGUUGCUACGAGAAUGUAGGUUUGAGAAUUACUAAAAUUGGAGUUGCAGUGAAAAAGAUAUGAAUUUCUGAAGUUUUAGGUGAUUAAAUAAUAAAACUAUAUUCUAUGUUCUUUAAUAUACAUCUUCUGAGAGAAAUAUUACAAAGAUAUAACCAAUUCAAUCUAUAAUCAAUACUAUAACAUGUUUGGAAGUACUAUUUUAAUAUAGUUAUAGAUAAAACAUUAACUUUUAAUUAGAAAAGUAAAUCUAAUGAGCAUCAUUUAAUUAUAUCUGAAAACAUGAUGAAAUAAUAUUGUUUAAUGCGUAGACAAUUUUAAUACGAAGCUAAUGUGACUUGAAUGGGUCAAAACGAUGUAAAAAUGAGCAAAAUAAGAAUUUUCUAAGUUUUUACAUUUAUCUUGCUACUAGAAAUCAUUUUUUGGAUUUAUUAUAGGAACAACUACAGUCCCUAGACGGCGGCUAUAAAAUCUCAAGAACACGGGGUCAAUAUUAUUAAGUCUUUUACCUAAUGGUAACAUUCUAAGUAUUGUUCAAGGCCAGGGGUUUAUUUGUAACAAACCCAGGGGCUCAUUUGCACUCUUCUUCAGCCGAAGGGGUUUCCGUAGAGAUGAGCCGCACGAUCUAAAAUAGACGGCCAGGAUUAAAUCUGCCUUAAAGUGAACCGAUAUCAACCACUCGAUUUGAGAUCCAUUCCUAUUCACAGCCGUAGCAUCACGCAUCUAUGGUUUGGAUCAAAACACAUGAAACGUUAUACGUUCAUCUAAUCCUGCACGUUGGCUGAAGAUCCAAAGGCUGGCAAGUGUCUUCCUUCGCUGACCGAGCUGAGUGGCGGCACGUGCCGCUCCACACUGCGGAGACUUACCAGCGACGACCAUCCAUCGAUCAGGCGACCCAAUCUGAGCCACCUAAGGCGCAACACGAAAUAGAUAACAUGGCAAACACGUGGAAGGAGAUCUUACCGGGGUUCAUGAAGCGGGUAGCACCACCCACAGCGCGAAGCGGUUUGGCGGUGAUUUCCUUGCCCCAGCGAUGAAUCCCAGUCAUGAUUAACCCCAUCCGGACUCAGUGAGGCCACGGAUAGGUGUGGUGCGCACAGGCGAUGCUCAUAUGCCACGAGCCGAGGUUGAAGCGACGACGGGAACGCAAUCUCACUGCAGCAGUGGCGUGAAUCGUUGUGGCGAGGUGCUCCCGGUGGUGGAGUAAAGCUCCCUGGUGUUGGCUCAUGGGGGGUAUGGGUUAUAUACCCCGGUGGCGCCCAAAGUCCGAGCUAGAGCAAGCAGCGAGAUCUGCGGCGGUCUGGUGAGACUCCGGUGCCGAUCGCGUGAGCUAUGCAGGAUGUCGCGGGAAUUGGUUGGAGGGGAUGGGGAUGAAUCUGACCGUGAGGGCCCACAAGCCAACGACUGACCUUGCGCAC